This is a long non-coding RNA of Triplophysa dalaica, 2381 nucleotides long. RefSeq lists it as uncharacterized. The transcript is spliced from 3 exons. The record is from RefSeq and is a predicted model, not a curated record. Lineage: Eukaryota; Metazoa; Chordata; Actinopteri; Cypriniformes; Nemacheilidae.
UGUUUGUCUUAAGUCUUUGUAAGUUUAAGUGUAGUUAGUAUAGUUCCUGUUUACACUUCAUUGUUAAUAUUAUCUUGUCCUGUUUUUACCCCAUCGUGGGUCUUUGUUUUGCCUGUUUUGUUAAGUUUUUAUUUGUUAAUAAACGUCCUUGUUACCCUUACCGUCUGUGUCUGCCUGCAAUUGGGUUCCCACGCCAUGUCUCACCUUGAGAUUCAUGACAUAAAGCAGCCAUCCCAUAGCCCCCCAGUAUAAAAAAGAGACAUGUCAUUGUUUAAUGCCCAUCCAUCCCCGAACAACCCCCACCAGCACAUUAGACAAACACAAAUUUAACCCUGUAGAAACAAGCACCACCUCAUUAACCUUUGGUUAGGGUUCUGUAAUGAGUGUAAAAAAACUAAAGGGUUGUGAUCAGUAAAAACCACCAGAGGUCCCUCAGAUGAUCCUACAUAUACAUCAAAAUGUUGCAAGGCCCAAAUCAGAGCAAGUGCUUCCUUCUCUAUUACUGAAUAGUUAAGCUGAAAAGAAUUAAACUUUUUAGAAAAGAAUCCAACUGGGUGGUUAAUGCCAUUUUCAGAAGUCUGCAACAGAACGGCACCAGCACCCACAUUGCUGGCAUCAACUUGCAAAUGAAAGACUCAAAACAGGACCCUCUGUAAGGAGCAUUUUUACCCUUUCAAACGCUUCUUGACAAUACGAAGUCCAACAAAAGACCACACCUCCUCAGUAGUUGUAUCAUAUACUGUGUGUCAAAUAGUUUGAUUGAUUUAUGACCCCCUGUCAAAUUAUCUGUCCACCAGUCACUCAAACUGAGACUUUUAUGGUAUGACAGCCCUGAUGACAGAUAUGUUUUAUGGUUGUUUUUGUGGGUAUCCUCUGACCCCAACCCUUCCUUUAGUGGGUCUAACUACCUCACCCCCCUUCACUACUUCCUUAUCAAAAAUGAUUGUUUUCAUCCUGUUUAGCUUUUACUGCAGGAUAUUAGUGAAUAACAAUUGUCAACUAGUGUGAUAAACUAAAUGUAGUAUAAGUGUUUUUCCUCUAAGAGUGUUGUUUCCUUUGCUUUGUGGUUUUUAUCAUGCAAAUGAGUGAGUUGGUGCUUGUUGUUUGAAAUCUUCUGAAUGUUUGUGUGUCUCCCCACUUUCCCCCCUAAGCAAGUCAUUUAAUCAGUAAAUCAAAGUAAGUGAGUUUUUUAUGAUCUGGCAGUCUUGUUUGAUAGUUUACAUAUUAUAGCUGUGUUAAUGUGUAUUUGUCCUCAUCCUGCUGGCCUGACAUCCUGAUGGUCAGGCAAUGUUUGAUCUCUCAUUAAACGAGUGAAAACCUGGCAGGGGGUGUGUUAGAGUGGCGUCCUAACGUUUAACGCAAUGUUUCAACUAAGAGUGAUCUGGGGACAUAGUUUUAAGUUUUAUAUGAUAAAUGAUUAAAAGCGAUUGGGUUCCGUUUAUCAUCAAUGAGACAUAAAUUACAUAUGCUUCAAGGAUAUGUCUCUGAUCUGUUUCUUCUAAUGUGUGUUAUAAAUAUUUUAUAGAAUAAGAAAUGACAACGAUAGCCAGGUACGUUUUAUCAUGCGUUUGGUGUCGUUCGGGAUGGCUGUGUAUUUUUCACAUAUUAAACAGGGUGGUGUUGUCUAACGAAAAAAAUUGUAACGUUUUAGAGUUAAUGCAAUGAUCCAUUUUUAAACAAAUGGUGUUCUGAGUCGCGUCAUGGGUUACCGACUGAGUGGUGAGACGUCAGUGUGUCUACGUGAACCAAGGUGUUUUAAAUCGUAUUCUUUGAAAUGUCCGUCACCUGUACAUCACUUUUUAAAAUAAAUACUUCCUUAUGUCUGAGAGGAUAUCGUGGAUCUACGAUGAUUUCAACAUGAUAAAGAGUUUUGGGGUUUGUUGGAGACGGUGUGAAUGGUCAUUCAUGUUUAUCACAGGUAGUCUAGUGUUAGUGCGAGUGCAUAUGUGUGUGUAUUGUUACAAUGACCGGGGGUGUGUUUUGCAUAUGUUAAUAGGGUCACCCCUUAACUUUUUAACACCAAGCCCGUAUGUCUUUAUAAGUUGAAAAUGUUUUGGUUUCUUUCGUUAUGGAAUCCUGUGUGUCAAGACAGUCGUCCAGAGUCGCGGUAAACAGACAUUCAUCUCUUUGUCAUUUUGAAAAACUACCCAAUCUUCUAAAAUGGCAAGAUUCAUUUACGGUACAUUGAACGACCCCCGAUAUUCCUGGCUUAUAGAAGAAAUUAACAAACUAAAUGGUCCAACUGGUUCGCCCCCUGUUGUAACAACACAACACAGCAAAAACCCCGGAUGUUUAAGAAGAGCCGUUGGUACGUAGGCCUGUAUGUGUGUUUGAGAUAGUAGUGAUUAUUGAAAAUCAUGUAAUACAAUGUUUUACUGCCU